GUGCCAGCCGCCGCGGUAAUACGUAGGGUCCGAGCGUUAUCCGGAAUCAUUGGGCGUAAAGAGCUCGUAGGCGGUUCAGCAAGUCGGCUGUGAAAGUCCGGGGCUCAACCCCGGAAUUGCAGUCGAUACUGCUGUGACUCGAGUCCGGUAGAGGAGAACGGAAUUCCCGGUGUAGCGGUGAAAUGCGCAGAUAUCGGGAGGAACACCAGUAGCGAAGGCGGUUCUCUGGGCCGGCACUGACGCUGAGGAGCGAAAGCGUGGGGAGCAAACAGGAUUAGAUACCCCAGUAGUCC
Molecule: ribosomal RNA, 293 nt
Filed under: uncultured bacterium
Lineage: Bacteria
Description: partial 16S ribosomal RNA
Rfam family: Bacterial small subunit ribosomal RNA
Source: RNAcentral